RNAcentral lists this unclassified non-coding RNA (427 nucleotides) under Aleisanthiopsis distantiflora. RNAcentral describes it as "partial external transcribed spacer". The record is from RNAcentral. Lineage: Eukaryota; Viridiplantae; Streptophyta; Magnoliopsida; Gentianales; Rubiaceae.
GAUCACAGCCUGAGCGGUGACGCCUUCCCUUACAUGCCUUUUCAGUCGUUGGCGCAAGAGCAACAUCAUAGCCUUGGCCGUUUGCGGGUUUCCUGUAUUGCAUACCUACCCAAAGGAAUUCGGAUGUCAUAACGUUCAGCAUUCUCCUAGUGCUGCCCCUCAAGGGUGCGGUACAAGGUGAACAACGAAGGCGAAUUCGUGUUCUAAGACAGUCGCGACGUGUGCUGUUGUCUUGGCCCAUGAACUCCAGCCUGAGCUUUCGGAUGCAGAAUACCAAGAGGGCAAGGGGUAUUCGCCUCUGUAUGCCCGUAAUCAGCGUUAAUCGCUCGCAUCGAACGACUGCUGUUGUCGUCUCGAGAAGUCAUGUCUCUCAGGCAUGUCGUCUUCGAGCGGCGACGGCGUCUGUGAGGAAUGCUACCUGGUUGAU